Molecule: transfer RNA, 71 nt
Filed under: Desulfovibrio intestinalis
Lineage: Bacteria; Pseudomonadati; Thermodesulfobacteriota; Desulfovibrionia; Desulfovibrionales; Desulfovibrionaceae
Description: tRNA-Leu
Source: RNAcentral
GGAGUAAAACAAUUUCGGCCCCUUGAAUGGCAUUCAAGAGGCCGUCAGUUCAAUUCUGUCCAGCUCCACCA